CAGGACAAAUAUUCAGAGCCAUCAUCUCCCUGGUGGAGGGGAGCAAGAGGAGACCUCAGGGGAACCAUGAUAAUUGCUGUGAGUGGACUGGCCUGGGACUGCCCCAAAGCUGAGCUCAUGAACCUUCUGAUCAAAUGGCCCAGGAAGGGAUUUGUCUAUUCCCCAGACUUCGUCCUGAAACUUGCUCUUGAGAGAACAGAGGAUGUAAUCAGCCACCAGCAGUGCUCUGCCAGGUGCCCUGGCCCCACGCAAGUUGUCUGGACCUAUUUGGGAGUUUGUCUAAUCCUUCCCGGCACCAAGAGGAAAUGGGAGAGCCUGAAGAAGGUGGAUUAAGCGUUCCCAGCUGCUGACAUGCUGCUGACUGUGGCAGAUAAGAAGGGAUGAGUGGCAUGUGCUGAAUGCAAGCUCCAAUAUUACUUGACUACAUUCAGAUGGCUGGUGUUCAGGGUACUUGAAGUUAUUCAGACCCAUCCGCCCUGUUUAGGAAGUCUGAUGUGUGUUUGCAGACAUGUGUGAGGAGCCAAGGGUGCAGCAGAGCCAGUAUGAUGGCUCAUAUUUGCUUAGCUCACACAUUGCCACGCUGGUUCCAAGCACACGGUCCCUGGACACACUCCCUCCUCCUUUUCAUAACUGUUACAGAGAGUGAAAGGGGCCUGUGUGCUAGUAAUCCAGGCAACUCUCUGACCAUCUAAAAGAUUAGGAAACAAAAAGAAGCAAGAAGGAACCAAAUCUGGAUUGUAAUGUGGAUGCCUAAUGAUUUCCCACUGAAACAUUUACAAAAUUGCCUGUCUGAUGAGAGGAAUGAGGAGGAGCAUUGUCGUGGUGAAGGACUCUGAUGAAGCUUUUCCAGGUGCAUUGAAGAUUCUGACUACUGAAAACAGAAAAUACAAAAAGAUUAAUGGGCCUGUUGCCAGAGGAUUCACUGCCGACAGACAUGAGCUGCCUGUUGCUGUUUAGUAUCUCUGCAUCUUCCUGAAGGCUGAGUUUUAUUAUUUGACUCCUCAUAUCCCUUUAAUCAAUAGGCUGCACAUAAAAUAAAAUCUACUGAAUCUCAGCUGAGGCUCUAGCAUGAUGCUUUCUGAGAUAUUUCAGAAUAUUUUUCCAAGUUUAUUUACAAGAUGAGUAUUUAUAUUCCAUUUUUUGGACAUAUUCAUUUGUUUUUGUUUUUGUCUCAGGAAGACAAGAGAAGGUAUUUAUAAGCUGUCAGUCUCACCUCACAAGGUCAGAACUGAAAGCUCUGUGUAGAAAAAUCCAAGUGCAGGAUUCAAAUAUGUUGUAUUGCUGUUGCUGACUUAUGACUGUGCCAUGUCAGAUGGUUUCAGCAACCUUGAGAGAUUAAGACCAUGGAUUCGUGUUCCAUGUAAUUUCAUGAGUUUUGUUCUGUCCCAUGGCUUCAGAUCAUGGUCCUAGCUCUAACCAGCUAUCUUGUAGAUGUAUGUCAUGUGUUGUAAGAAGCAUUUGCUUUGACCUGAAGCUUGGCAUUGAGUUCUUGUUACCUGUGAAUGGACCUUCUUCCCCAUCUUGGACCUAUCAAUGCUGAGCAUGUUCUGAACCACAGCUGGAAAGGCUAAGUCUCUUGGCACAAGAAGUCUUGUCUACCUGGUUGAACCCUGACUGUCAGAUGGCAUGCCUAAGCUCAAUGGCUUUCCAUCAUCUUACUGAGCAGGUCUAAUGUCAGGCCCUAAACCUUCCCCCAACGGAAGGUUUGAUGUCAUGAGCCUGGCCAGCCUAUCCUGAGCUACAACCAUGGAUAGCACCUCCUGGAAUGUUUGGCACUAUUUGGAAGAGGUCAAACAAGUAGAUAUAGAUACAUUUCAAAUAAGAAAACUGUCAGGGAACCAAAGAGCUACCCAAAAGAUGGACUUUGAAUUUUCCCUCUGCUGGAAUUCAUUGAGAGAUAAUACAGAUGAAAACAAAUAGGCUUUUUUAUUUAAAUAAAAAUAGUGAGGUGGGACAUGCCCUAGAUAUUAAAAUAUACCAGUAAGCUGAAAUAAGUUAGUUAGUACUAAGGUACAAUUGCAAAAAUGGACAGACACACCAAGAAGAGACAACCUUGAUAUAGACUUUGAUAUUUAUAAUCUAUCUAUAAUAAAGGAGGAAUUACAAAGUCAAUAAAUGGAGUUGGAAAUUUUAGUAUUUUAGGAAAAAAGAAUUGACUUAGAUAUUCCUCCCAGAGUAUUUUACAAAAUAAUUUCCAAAUGGAUAAGAUGGACACGAGAGUUAUGUGUACAAAAUGAAACUUAAAACAUCACAAGGAAUUGUAGAAAGAUUUCUAUCUAACCUCUACAUGGUAAAGGACUAUUUAAAUUAAACAUAAAAACAAUGGGGUAAGAUCAAAUAGAUUUAACUAAUAAAAAUGUAAA
Molecule: long non-coding RNA, 2363 nt
Filed under: Homo sapiens (human)
Lineage: Eukaryota; Metazoa; Chordata; Mammalia; Primates; Hominidae
Description: HSALNT0377568
Source: RNAcentral